Ipomoea nil (Japanese morning glory) is the source of this 105-nucleotide long non-coding RNA. RefSeq lists it as uncharacterized. The record is from RefSeq and is a predicted model, not a curated record. NCBI's taxonomy places the organism in Eukaryota, Viridiplantae, Streptophyta, Magnoliopsida, Solanales, Convolvulaceae. The transcript is spliced from 5 exons.
UUAUGAAAGGCUAAAACCAUGGGUAUCCAACCAGUCCUCACGCAUAGAAGAAUAGCAAUUGCCCGGGAAGACAAGUUGUGCAUUUGGAGAUGCACGAGGGAAGCA